AGAAAGACAUAGAGGUUAUGGGGUUGGCUUGAAACCAACUUUUGGGGGUUCGAGUCCUUCCUUUCUUA
Molecule: transfer RNA, 68 nt
Filed under: Desmodillus auricularis (Cape short-eared gerbil)
Lineage: Eukaryota; Metazoa; Chordata; Mammalia; Rodentia; Muridae
Description: tRNA-Ser
Rfam family: tRNA
About the family: Transfer RNA (tRNA) molecules are approximately 80 nucleotides in length. Their secondary structure includes four short double-helical elements and three loops (D, anti-codon, and T loops).
Source: RNAcentral